UACGGAGGGUGCAAGCGUUACUCGGAAUCACUGGGCGUAAAGCGCGCGCAGGCGGUUUGAUAAGUUGGAUGUGAAAUCCUAUGGCUUAACCAUAGAACUGCAUCCAAAACUGUCAGACUAGAGUCUGGGAGGGGAAGAUGGAAUUAGUUGUGUAGGGGUAAAAUCCGUAGAGAUAACUAGGAAUAUCAAAGCGAAGGCGAUCUUCUGGAACAGUACUGACGCUGAGGCGCGAAAGCGUGGGGAGCAAACAGGAUUAGAUACCCGGUA
RNAcentral lists this ribosomal RNA (267 nucleotides) under uncultured prokaryote. Its description in RNAcentral is "partial 16S ribosomal RNA". It matches the Rfam family "Bacterial small subunit ribosomal RNA", at positions 524 to 792 of the family's 1533-position model. The record is from RNAcentral.